Molecule: ribosomal RNA, 428 nt
Filed under: uncultured prokaryote
Also listed under: 1 other name
Description: bacterial SSU rRNA
Rfam family: Bacterial small subunit ribosomal RNA
Source: RNAcentral
UUUCGAAUUAUUCACAAUGGGCGCAAGCCUGAUGGUGCGACGCCGCGUGAGGGAUGAAGGUCUUCGGAUUGUAAACCUCUGUCACCGGGGAAGAAUGGCUCUGACCUAAUACGUCAGGGUUUGACUUAACCCGGAGAGGAAGCAGUGGCUAACUCUGUGCCAGCAGCCGCGGUAAUACAGAGACUGCAAGCGUUAUUCGGAUUCACUGGGCGUAAAGGGUGCGCAGGCGGUUGCGUGUGUUGGGUGGGAAAGCGCGGAGCCCAACUCCAGAAUUGCGCCCGAAACUACGCGACUAGAGUACCGGAGAGGAUAGCGGAAUUCACGGUGUAGCAGUGAAAUGCGUAGAUAUCGUGAAGAACACCAGCGGCGAAGGCGGCUAUCUGGAAGGUAACUGACGCUCAGGCACGAAAGCGUGGGGAGCAAAAGGG